RNAcentral lists this ribosomal RNA (253 nucleotides) under uncultured prokaryote. Its description in RNAcentral is "partial 16S ribosomal RNA". It matches the Rfam family "Bacterial small subunit ribosomal RNA", at positions 524 to 776 of the family's 1533-position model. The record is from RNAcentral.
UACGUAGGGUCCAAGCGUUAAUCGGAAUUACUGGGCGUAAAGGGCGCGUAGGCGGUUUGUUAAGUCGGCUGUGAAAGCCCGGGGCUCAACCCCGGAGGGUCAGCCGAUACUGGCAGACUAGAGUACGGAAGAGGUAGCUGGAAUUCCCGGUGUAGCGGUGAAAUGCGUAGAUAUCGAGAGGAACACCUGCGGCGAAGGCGGGUUGCUGGGCUGACACUGACGCUGAAGCGCGAAAGCUAGGGGAGCGAACGGG